Musa acuminata subsp. malaccensis (wild Malaysian banana) is the source of this 840-nucleotide long non-coding RNA. RefSeq lists it as uncharacterized. Lineage: Eukaryota; Viridiplantae; Streptophyta; Magnoliopsida; Zingiberales; Musaceae. The record is from RefSeq and is a predicted model, not a curated record.
UUGCCCUCUUCUCCAAAAGCUAAUCAAAGCCCACUGCCAAGUAUACAGAUGGAGGAAUCAAACACAAACCCUCAUCUCCUCCUCCUCCCGAGAAGAGUGGCUCCGCUGCCUCCUGUCGCCGUCUCCCAGGAACGCCUCCGCCAGAUCCAACCCUCCUGCUCCUAACCCUAACCCUAACAUUUACUCACCUUGCUUCGCUGGGGCUGGGUAGGCCGCUGCGUCUGGUGUACUGCGACGAGCCCCGGAUGUACCCGGAGGCUGUCGCCGCGUUCCAGCUCGCCAGGUGCCCCAUCGGCGUCGUCGCCCUCCAUCAGGAGAUGAUGUCUGCUUCUCUUCAUCAUCGAUUCAGAUGAUUUGUUGACCUUGUGACAAUGCUUCUUCUGUGGGAGAGGAUGUGUGCUCCUCUUGAUCAUCGAUUCAGAUGCCAUGAACCUCUCAAGCGACUCGGUUCCCCGUGACUCCCUGCUUAUCCAUCCGGAGUAAUGUGCGAUCGAGGUGCUCCUCCUACAACAGUUCUACUAGGAUCUGUGCCAUGAGGUUCGAUCCUUUGUUUGCUCCUCUUGCUUCAUCUGUUUGCCCCCCAUCGAUAUUAUUAGAGUCACUGAGUUAGCUUGAGUUGCCAAAGACUUUUUCACUCUAUCGAUAUCGACUUAUAUAAACGUUGCGCAAGGCCGAAACACCUGUAAAUGCGCAAGGGCAAAGAUGACGGAAUGAAACGACGAACUGUAACCGUGACAAAUUUGGCUGUCAUUGUAGGCAGGCUGCCAUGGACUGGGACCCACGAUCGUCUCAUCUGUAUUUUAUUCUUCUCUUCCUUGAUAGUAUAUAAUUUGAAUUUAA